RNAcentral lists this ribosomal RNA (253 nucleotides) under uncultured bacterium. Its description in RNAcentral is "partial 16S ribosomal RNA". It matches the Rfam family "Bacterial small subunit ribosomal RNA", at positions 524 to 776 of the family's 1533-position model. The record is from RNAcentral.
GACAGAGGUGGCAAGCGUUGUUCGGAUUCAUUGGGUGUAAAGGGUCCGUAGGUGGCCCGGUAAGUCCGGCGUGAAAUCCCAGAGCUCAACUCUGGAACUGCGUUGGAAACUAUCGGGCUUGAGUGCCGGAGAGGUUAGGGGAAUUCCAGGUGUAAGGGUGAAAUCUGUAGAUAUCUGGAGGAACACCAGUGGCGAAGGCGGCCUUCUGGUCCAGUACUGACACUCAAGUGCGAAAGCGUGGGGAGCAAACAGG